Molecule: long non-coding RNA, 7021 nt
Organism: Cavia porcellus (domestic guinea pig)
Lineage: Eukaryota; Metazoa; Chordata; Mammalia; Rodentia; Caviidae
Exons: 3
Source: RefSeq, a predicted model, not a curated record
GCACUCACCUGCCCUGUCCUCCUGCAGGGAGCGGCCACCGCUCCAAACCUGGGAGCGGAACCCUGGACAGCAGCGGCUGGGGAGAGCUGGCCGAAGGCGGCCCAGGCCCCUCCCAGGGCGACCCGAGAGGCGCUUGGCUAGCGUGCCGAGGCCCCCACCGACAGCCGCCGUCUGUGCCCAGCUCCUCCCGCCCCUGCCCCUGGCCGAGCAGGAGAGGCCGCCGGCGCGAGCUGGGAUCGCGCACAGAGCAGGGGCGCACGGUGGAGGCUGCGGGCCCGGGUGCGCCCGGUUUCCUCUUCCUGUUGCUGGCCCUGUGCUCAGGGCUUUAGUCUCUGCUAUGUUCCCGUUUUAGCAAAUUCUAUUCUUUUUAUUUUGUUCCCUGAUCCGGGGCGGGGGCGCAGCAUUUGCCUAGAGGCCUUUUCUGUCCCUCAACCUUCCGGCCUGGCCUUCUGUCUCCUCACUCUGCUCUCCCAGCCGUGACCACCUCCUCCCCCUCCCCUCCCCUCCCCCUUCUUUCCCCUUCCCCUCCCCCUUCUCCUCCCCCAUCCCCUCCCCCUGAUGCCACUCUUCCAUGGGUCACAGGUUCCCUGUUCCAGGGGUCCCACCCCCGAAGCCACACCGUGCGCCCACGCGUGGAGGGGGCCCCUGCCGCAGCUCAGCUGGCAGCCUCUCGGUGCUGCUGCGCGGUCCUCAGUGCUCUGUGCAGGUGCCGGGACAGGCUCGGCCGCUGGAUGUUAGGCUCUCAGCGCGUCUCCAAAUCUCUCCAAGACGUUAUUUUUGAAAACCUUCGUGAUUUGCUUGCGUGUCUCACCGCUCUCUCUUCAGUGUUGGGGUUCACUGCGCCGGAUCUUUUUUGCGUAGACAGGGACGCAGUCAAGUUAGUUGUAACAACUCGGGAACAGUUCAUGCUUCGUUAAAUCAGAUACUACUACAUAUAUGUAAGGUAACACGUUUUGAAGCUAAAUAUAUUUACGUACACAUAUAUACUUCAGUGUGCAGAUACUCUUUGUUUUAUUUACAUGCUUUCUUGGAAUGCUGUAGGUUAAACCCUCCUGCGGACUGACGGCUGUCUCCAGGCAAGUGCUCUCGCCCCCGCCCGCCCGGGCCUCACCCCCAGCCCUGUCUGUUGGGAAAUAAACCUGUUGUGCAUUAGCUGCCCAGCUGCGGUGUGUUACAGUGGUCCGAGCUGAUGAAGACGCGGGCUCCUGCAUGACUUAAAACCCUGACAGAAUAAGCUCAGUAGACCCGUGGCCUAAGCCCCCACGUGCUCAAUGAGAUCCCAGUUAUCCAUUCUUUGUAAAGAUUGAGAAACUGAGAAAUACCAGCCAGUUGAGUGGAGAUGCCAGCAGGGCAGGUGGAUGUCCGAGGAAGGACAUAAAACACCUUUUCCUUGAUGUGUUCUUCAAGACAGAGCUUUGUCAGACCCAAAGAGCAUGAUUCAGUCUCCAUCGCCCACAAAAGAUCCUUCGCACGUAUUUUCCACGUAUGUAUUUAGAAUACCACUUCUAUUUAGCUCUACUUGAGCUUUUAUGAAAUAAUUGUUCAUUUUGUAUCUGUAUCAUUUGUCUCUAUUUAUGCAUCUGCACCUUAUGGCAACACUCUUCUGUUCUGUUCUAUGUCUUCUCUACUUCCCACCAAGAAGGGGGCUAGAGUUCCCUCUUCUGAAUCAACCCUGGCUCCAUGACUUCCCUGCAGCAGAGAGUGUGCGGAGGGCACUUGUUUGGUGUCCAGGGCUCAGUCAGAGGAGGGCUUUCUGAUUUUUUAUGCUCUCCGGGGAUGUCACCACUCCGGGACUCCCUUCGGAGCUCCCCUCUGGAAUCUUAGGUGAUGAGAGAGGCCUGCAAAGUAUCCUUGUGCUCUUUUCAAGUUUCCAAUGAGCCUUGCUCAACCCUCCUGGCUGGGGACCGCACUGAGCAGGCGGUUCCUGCCAUUAGUGACUCAAGCUGCUCCCAGCUAUUAUACCGGAGAGCAGAGAUGGCAUCCUCUCUUUUCCCUGAAUUCAGAGCACAUGCACAGAGUCAUGCUGUCUUAUGCCAGUUUGGGAGUCCGUUACCCCACGAUGGGCAGCUAAAACGCUUGCUUAUCAGAUGAGUUACUGCCUAGACCAAUAGUGAUGAAACUGUGCCACACAGGCCACGUGGGCAUGAAAGAUUGGUCACUCCAGCCUUUCUCCAGCAGCCACACAUUGGAUAACAGCACACAGGGGGGCUGUGUGCAUGCGCGGAAAGGAGUAGUGGCACCAGGCAUGACAUCAUGAGCAGUGUGAGUACUCAGUCUCUAAAAAGUUUGCUGUCACUGGUCUAGACUGUGCAUUCCAGCAAGCAGAGAGUGUGAUUUGAACACUUCAUGCAAUCAUCUGAAAAUUCAACAGAACAGAAGGACUGGCCUCAUCACGGAGAGUUUUUCUCCAGUAGAUGACUUCAGACUUCAGUGCCAGCUCUUCCCUACACGAUAGCAGGUGGCCCCCAGACUGCAGGCCUCAGCUCUCCUGGCCUCCCCGGUACUGGACUUGCCAGCGUCUGUGACUGAACUAGCCAAUCUCCCACCAUAAAUCUCCUAUCUGUCUACCUACCUACCUACGGUCUGCCCAUCGAUCUAUAGCAUCUCCACUGUCUUCUCUGUGUCUCUUGAUCUGUCUCCACGUACACAGCCCAUUAGCUCUGUUUCUUUGGAGAACUUGACAAUGUAAUCUCCACAGGAUCUGAAAGAGUGGAUGUCGGUAGGUGGUGUCCUCUGGGUGACAUUUUGGCUGUCACAACUCAGCAUCUCAUGAGUAAUACGGCUGGACUGAGGUGCUACUUCUUUUAAGAGAGGCCUGAAAGUGAGUGGACACAAGUCAAGGGACAUCGACCUGUGGCAUGAGGACCGCUAUUCAUCUGUGUGCAUCACAGGUCCUGUGUCCAAACCCAUCAGUGGUGUCCAUCAGUUCCUCACGAAGCCAGGGGAUGGGCCUUCAGUGGUGUUUCCAAAAGGUAGUGUUGAAACAUCAAAGUUUUGCCCUGGAGUAAAAAUUACUCUCUGUAAUUAUGAAGAAACAGCUCUCUCUGGUAGCAAGUUAUAGCAGUUUCUUUAAAAGAAGAAAUGACUAACAUGUAAGAGGCUCUGGAAACUUUGGUAAGAGAAAUACACGACCAGCAAGAGGAAAUUUAUCUGGUAUCCCUCCAUGUUGUAUCUAUGAAUUAUACACAGUAUGUUCAAAAUGCAGAGGUAUUAUUUUUGUUAUUUUUUAAUAGAUGAGAAGGUGGGAACUCAUAAGAGUUACAGAACUUGCUAGUGAUUUGCAGCACCCAGAAGGGAAUUUGUGUGUCAGCCAGAGUUAGGACACUUCCAGAGCCUGCAACUACCCACUGCAGCUGCUGGCUGCCCCUGCUGUUAGAGACCUGCCCAAAGCAAGAAGAAGAAAAAACUUCUUGCUAUCACCAGUCUCUGGGUUGCUGAAUUUUCUCUGGGAGGCCGCUGACAAGUGAAUCAGCAGGCUUGCAGCCUCUGCACUAGAAAGGGGCAGAGGUAGACCUGUGGACAGGGAGAAUCUGGCCCAAGACUUUGCAUCCUAGGUUCUGCUCACCAGCUUCAGUUUUUUUCUGUGUGGUCAGAGCAUGCCGAAUUUUUACUUCUGGUGACCCAAGGGUUAAUCAUUUAAUACAGGGAAAGUGUCUUUCUUAUUGUUAUACUGUCUAGCAUGUUUGUUCAGGUCAGUGGGAACUACUUGUCACCAUAGUCAUUUAAAAGCCAAGCUGAAUCUGGCUGUGUCAUCUUUACCACAUGAAUUUCUGAUGAUUCUGAGUUUCCUGACUCCAGUCGGCAGAAGUUUUUAUGGGUCAGGCCAAUAAGGGACGCGAAUAAGAAUUGACGUUCCUGCUAGGAUUGCUCACUCGUGAGACCAGAACCUCCUGAAAGGGAGGCUGAGAAAAAGGACCAGGCUGGGGCCAGGAAGCGAGGAGAGGGGACUCUGGAUCUCUUAAGGGUGUCUGCCAGCUCCCACACAUGCAAAGACUUGGGGACCUUCAAAUCAGUCCCUUGUGCACAGAGUAGAGGCACCAGAGAUGACUGUACGUGAAAAAAUGGUCAGAAGAUUUGAUGUUUUCUUGCUCACUAUGAAACAUCAGUGAAACACAACAGACAAAAGAUUGGGGACACUGUAGGUAAUAUGAGCAUAAAUAAAUAGCACCCCCACUAACUCAGAGCUCAUUUGAUUCUGCAGUGAUGCCGGGCUUGAUUACCGUGCUUCUUUACAUUAGUGCUUCAGAGGACUCCAGUAACCUAAAGUGUGUACAACCAGAAGUAAAUGGCUUUACGUACCUCACAACCAGGAUAAACCUGGUAGUCGAUAAACCUGCCACUUGGCUGUUUGGUAUGUAAACCUGAUAGUCAGUAAAUCUGGAAAUGAACCACAGAGGAAACAAAGGCUGUCUCCAGGAGGCAGCCCUGCUGAGAGGUCACACUGCAAUAGCAGUUUUAAUGGGAGAGCUGCCCAGGUGCUUAAUCUCGCAUGCAGUUUUCAGUUCAGACUACGUUCAAAAGGGUGUUCAGCUGCAAGAAAAGGAGUUGAAGAGAAAUUGAAUGAAAAGUAUAAGUAAAAGAUCCCACUGGCUCUCUUGCCGACGGGCAAGCUCACGGCCUUGAGUUCAGCUCCCAGCACCAAAAGAAGCCAAAAAAAACCCCACAACAAAACAAACUAAAAAUCUCACUGGACAUCAAAAUAAUAUAAUAAACUGUAACAGCAGUGUUGUGUUUUAAAGAAAUGAAUGGCAAUGCCACAGAAUGGACUCUUAUGUGGUCUUUAUGAUUUAUUUAUUUCUUUAUUCGGUACCAGGGAUCAAACUCAUGAUCUCGCACUUGCCAGACAGGCACUUAUGCUGCUGAGCUAAACCCCUGAAGAUGUGAUUUACUAUCAAUGAUGUGAAAAAGAAAUGUGGAAGAAAAUGUAGAUGGCAUUAACUACCUGGAAGCGGCUCUGAAUAGGGGAUUAUGGAUGAUUCUUUAAAUGCUUCUUUAUAUUGUUUCUCUGCCUUCUAGAUUGUAAAAUAUCAUUGCGAUAGCCAGGAGACAGGAAGCAGGCCACUUAGUUUUUAAACUAUGGGAAGUAGGUGCUGUCCACCACUGAGGUGCCCAGCAGAGUCUAGAGCAUAGAAGGGGUGGGUGGUUUGAGGUGGAGAUGCGUUAGUUUGUUUGCUGUUACAACAGAACGUGGCACCCUGGGUGGUUUAUGGACAGCAGAGAUUGAUUUCUCACCCUGUGGAAGCCCGGCGUGCAAGUUCCCAGACCUGCAGUGGACUCGGGCGUUGCCAUGGCCUAAUUCCUGAUCCAUAGACAAGUUUCUUCCUGCUGUGUCCCUUUGGAGCUUUUUAGGGUCCCUGAGAAGAGCAUGGGUCCCUCACAUGAGGUUCCACCUUCGUGAGCUCACACCUCCACCACACGGGACUGGAUCUGUAUAUGAAUUCUGGGGGAUAGAUAUUGUCUUAGUUACUUUUUACUCAUCGUUGAGACAAAAUACCCGAUGACUAAAGUUGGGAAAGGAAAGGUUUAUUUCUUACAGUUUUUGGAGGUUUCAGUCCAUACUCAGUUGCCUCCAAGGCAGGGUGGCUUGGUAGGGCCGCAGUUCAUGGCGACUGCAAACAGCAAGGCAGAAACCAGCAAGAGAGCAAGACACACCUUCUUCCUGCCAUUAAAUUACAACCUGGCUCCACCCCUCUGUGGGUGUAGCGCUGACACCAUCAAUCCAAGCACUAGACAAUGAACCAAUCACAGAUGCAUAAUGUAAAUGCGUGAGGCCUGGGGGCCACCGACAUAGACCAUGACAGAUAUCAAGCCUCUACUUAGGAUGUACAGAGACUCUGGUAGGAAGUCUGUUCCUCCUAGAAGGCAUUGGGAACUGCUGGUUUCUUGGAUCAUAAAAGCAGAUGGACAUCUCUCAGUCUCAUUAUUGCUUUUCAGUGCUUACUGGAUAAAUUCUUCCUGCUGACUUUUGUGUGUCCAUGGAGAAGAAAUACCUAUUUCAUUUGGAGGAAAGUUACCCUAAAGUACUUUUCACACUAAUUCGAGCUAAGGUGACUAUUUUGGAAGCUUGUCCACACAUGGGAAUAACAGCAUGCUUUGUGUUGAGGCUGAGACCAUUCAUAUUAACAAAAGAGCACAGCAAAGUGAAGCAGUGUGCUUUGGAUGUAGCAGUGUUCCACAGCAUUCUGAUCAUCUGAAGCAAGGACCUGUAGAUGUGACUGAAUAUUAUAUGCCACCUGGUUUUAGAGCUGCAGGGGCCUUUAGUAGGUACUUAAUCCAUUUACAAAUGGAUUACCAAUUUAAGAUACUGCAUCUUAAAACCAUACAACCAUGUGCAUCCUGGGGUCAGUGUGACAAGUGCUGCUGGGGCUGGUGAUCUGUGUUGUAAAAGCAUAGACCAAGCAAAAUCUCAGGCCCACCAGCAAUUGUAUCUAAAUUUGACAAAGUGGCUACUAAAACAAGUAAAACCAAGGCAGGCCACACAUUUUUGGGUCCUGUGGCCUUAGCCAAAUCCUCUUUUGCCUCUUGGUGAAACUUCAUUUGAUGUCAUGGAGAUUAUCUCUUCAACUGGCGAGCUGCUGGCUCCAGAUUCCCAGAAGCACCAGGGCACAGUCAGUGGUGAGUGUGGGUCAGCCUCGGACUCCUCACGGCAGAGGGGGGAAGCAGUCCUGCCAAUCAUCAGAUGGCUUCGAGCCCUCCAGGAAGGAGCGAAAAAUGAACGGGAGGAGUGUCAGCACGCUUCCUGGAGAGCAUCUCAGAGAGAACGGCCUGCGGUUCGGGGCAGGUUGGGGAGACGGAGUAGCAGCAGACAGGCACCUGCCUCGGCUCCUGCAGGGGCUGGGGUGAGACUCCCCACAUCUGCACCCGUGAGCUGCUUUCCUUCCUGACGUCAGUGUUACCACAGUCAGCAAACUCAGUGCUGUUUUGUUUUUAAGUGUUAAAUAACAAAAUUUUUUUAUUAGUAUGUGCUUGCAGAACAUGAAGUUUACAUGCAUCCAUGCACAUAACUCAGAUAACUUUAAAA